UUGAGUACCACUGCAAAAUGUAAGUGUGGAUUUUACCAUCUUCUGCUAUCAGAGAUGAAUAUGUACAUGUAAUAAUUUUGGUCUGUCACAGGAAUAAAUCUUUUCUCGAUAUCAGUUUGUUCUUUUUGUCCUGUUCUCUGUUACUACUAGUGGUUUUGCUGCUGCUGUUGCUGCUGUUGUUGCUGUUGCUGCUACUACUACUACUACUACUACUACUACUACUACUACUACUACUACUACUACUACUACUACUACUACUAAUAAUAAUAAUAAUAAUAAUAAUAAUAAUAAUAAUAAUAAUAAUAAUAAUGAUAAUAAUAAUAAUAAUAAUAAUUUCUAUUACAGGCACAAGGCUUGAAAUUUUGGAAGAUGAGGAUAGUUAGCUACAUUGGCACCAGUGCAUAACUGGUACUUAUUUCAUCAACCUUGCACCCCAAAAAGGAUGAACAGCAAAGUCAGCCUCAGUAGCAUUUGGACUCAGAGUAUAAAGAAAUGCUGCUAGGCAUUUUGUCUGGUCUGCUAAUGAUUAUGCCAGCUUGCUCCUUUACAACAACAAAUAACAAUAAUAAUAAUCCUUUCUACUAUAGGCAUGAGGCAUGAAAUUUGGUGGAGAGGGGGUAAGUCGAUUACAUUGACCCCGGUGUGUAACUGGUACUUAUCUCAGCGGAAUUUGAACUUAGA
Molecule: long non-coding RNA, 681 nt
Filed under: Octopus vulgaris (common octopus)
Lineage: Eukaryota; Metazoa; Mollusca; Cephalopoda; Octopoda; Octopodidae
Source: RNAcentral